RNAcentral lists this ribosomal RNA (246 nucleotides) under uncultured bacterium. RNAcentral describes it as "partial 16S ribosomal RNA". It matches the Rfam family "Bacterial small subunit ribosomal RNA", at positions 87 to 334 of the family's 1533-position model. The record is from RNAcentral.
UACCCUGACCGGCGAACGGGUGCGUAACACGUGAGCGACCUUCCGUCUUCUGGGGGAUAGCCGGCCCAACGGCCGGGUAAUACCGCAUACGCUCCCUUGGCCGCAUGGCGGGGGAGGAAACUUCUGGGGGAGGACGAGGGGCUCGCGGCCUAUCAGCUAGUUGGGGGGGUAACGGCCUCCCAAGGCGACGACGGGUAGCUGGUCUGAGAGGAUGGCCAGCCACAUUGGGACUGAGAGACGGCCCAG